Molecule: long non-coding RNA, 587 nt
Filed under: Calidris pugnax (ruff)
Lineage: Eukaryota; Metazoa; Chordata; Aves; Charadriiformes; Scolopacidae
Description: lncRNA (ENSCPUG00000003506.1)
Source: RNAcentral
AUACGAUGGACUGGGGAGGUGACCUGGUCCCGGAGUAGUGCAUGACAUUAUGGUUUUCCCUGGACAUGGAGUAGUGCAUUUCAUUAUGGUUUUCCCUGGACAUUAUCUUACAGGAUCAUAGUUUCCUUUUGCAUGAAAGUUAGAAGCUGGGCCAACUACGUUGAACUGGAGUUCAUUCUGAGAUUCUGAAAGCAGCAGAACUAGUGAGAGGAGCUGUCCUCUAUCCCAGUGUUAGUAAUGGUACCCAGCAGAGGUCCAAGAUCUACUGGAGUAUCCUUGUAAAACCACCCGUGACGUUGGAAAUGAAACAUCUGAACCCCCAUCAUGCGUACAUCUUUGCAUGUUCAGUGGAGGCUGUGAUAUGGGACUGCAGAGGGUCUUUCCAGCAGGGAUUUCUUCAGUAUAGGCUUAAGGCAAAAGAAUUUGUGGGGGUCACACUCAGCUCGUGGAUGCAGCGGAGCAAGCAGGCUGUAACCUCUCCGAGGCAGGUGGGACGCACUGGCUCUCUGCCGUGAAUUGGUAUGACAUGGCCCUGGCCCUGGUUUCUGCUCUGAGGUCUGCCAGGUGCUAAGGGCUGCAGGCAAAUC